AUGCGCGNCUACCAUGCAAGUCGAACGGGAGUAUUGAAGAAGCUUGCUUUAGAGAUACUUUAGUGGCGGACGGGUGAGUAACGCGUGAGGAGCUGUCCUAUGCAGGGGGACAACAGCUGGAAACGGCUGCUAAUACCCCAUAAGCCGAGAGGUAAAAGGAUCAAUCCGGCAGAGGAGGUACUCGCGUCCUAUCAGCUAGUAGGUGAGGUAACGGCUCACCUAGGCGAAGACGGGUAGCCGGCCUGAGAGGGCGAACGGCCACACUGGAACUGAGAUACGGUCCAGACUCCUACGGGAGGCAGCAGUGGGGAAUAUUGGGCAAUGGGGGAAACCCUGACCCAGCGACGCCGCGUGGGUGAAGAAAUCCUUCGGGAUGUAAAGCCCUGUUGUAUGAGAAGAGCGGAAGACGGUACCAUACGAGGAAGCCCCGGCAAACUACGUGCCAGCAGCCGCGGUAAUACGUAGGGGGCAAGCGUUGUCCGGAAUUACUGGACGUAAAGCGCACGCAGGCUGAAUUAUAAGUCGGUAGUCAAAGGCGGAGGCUCAACCUCUGUAUAUCUAUCGAUACUGUAAAUCUGGAGUAUGUGAGAGGGAAGCGGAAUUCCCGGUGUAGCGGUGAAAUGCGUAGAUAUCGGGAGGAACACCAGUGGCGAAGGCGGCUUCCUGGCACAAUACUGACGCUCAUGUGCGAAAGCUAGGGCAGCGAACGGGAUUAGAUACCCCGGUAGUCCUAGCCGUAAACGAUGGAUACUAGGUGUGGGUGUCGCAGGGCAUCCGUGCCGCAGUUAACGCGUUAAGUAUCCCGCCUGGGGACUACGGUCGCAAGACUGAAACUCAAAGGAAUUGACGGGGGCCCGCACAAGCGGUGGAGCACGUGGUUUAAUUCGAUGCAAACCGAAGAACCUUACCUGGGUUUGACAUGCAGGUGUUAGUGNAAAUGAAAGUGGAACGACCUUGCAGCGAUGUAAGGAGCCUGC
This 977-nucleotide ribosomal RNA is filed under the name uncultured bacterium. RNAcentral describes it as "bacterial SSU rRNA". It matches the Rfam family "Bacterial small subunit ribosomal RNA", at positions 42 to 1032 of the family's 1533-position model. The record is from RNAcentral.